This 322-nucleotide ribosomal RNA is filed under the name uncultured Synechococcus sp. RNAcentral's name for it is "bacterial SSU rRNA". It matches the Rfam family "Bacterial small subunit ribosomal RNA", at positions 443 to 780 of the family's 1533-position model. The record is from RNAcentral. Lineage: Bacteria; Bacillati; Cyanobacteriota; Cyanophyceae; Synechococcales; Synechococcaceae.
GGAAGAAGAUCUGACGGUACUUGAUGAAUAAGCCACGGCUAAUUCCGUGCCAGCAGCCGCGGUAAUACGGGAGUGGCAAGCGUUAUCCGGAAUUAUUGGGCGUAAAGCGUCCGCAGGCGGUUUUGAAAGUCUGUUGUUAAAGCGUGGAGCUUAACUCCAUUUCAGCAAUGGAAACUACAAGACUAGAGUGUGGUAGGGGCAGAGGGAAUUCCCGGUGUAGCGGUGAAAUGCGUAGAUAUCGGGAAGAACACCAGUGGCGAAGGCGCUCUGCUGGGCCAUAACUGACGCUCAUGGACGAAAGCCAGGGGAGCGAAAGGGAUUA